Molecule: long non-coding RNA, 675 nt
Filed under: Triticum aestivum (bread wheat)
Lineage: Eukaryota; Viridiplantae; Streptophyta; Magnoliopsida; Poales; Poaceae
Description: long non-coding RNA (TAES_LNC007861)
Source: RNAcentral
CCUGUGUAUGCUCUGGAAUCUGCUCGUUAUUAUAUGAGGCAGCCCAGCUCAUUUCUUUGCGCGCCCACUCCUCUCCUCUCUGCUCUAAGUAACCUAGCACAUUGAGAAGAACAGCUCAAAUAGCUACUUUGAACACGAUUUUGAGCGUUUUAAAGGCCAAUUCAAAAGAUGUUUUAGUUCAGUAAAAGAUAGAACAAGGUCAGAUCUGUCCAUUUUUGUAGGUAUCGUUCACAUGCAUGAUGUUUUUGGUCUGUUAAUCGAAUAAACCGAACCAAUAUAUUUUGAUUAUUAUGGUUCGCUUGCUAAUUUUUGUGUGAUUAUUUCGGUGGCCAUUUCAAUGAAAUCAAAUUAUAAAAAACCGAAUAAACCGAAUCGUAUUAACCAUAUUAACCGAACUUCGAGCCCUACUAGCGGUAUCAUCAUUUACAAUAGUACAUCAAUAUAAAAAAUAUUCACAAUAUUACACGGUGCUAUUUAUACCUUAGCUUCAAUAUGAAUGUCGUUCUGCAUAAAAUUAAGCAUCACAAAAGUUCAAAAAAGUAUCCGUCAGCAUGAACAUAUCACCGGCAAUAUAUCGACGGAGUCAACCUAUUAUCACAUGAACAUAAAUAUUAGCCACGGAUUUUUUUUCUAUCAACUGCAUCAAAAUAGCACUUGCAUGAACAUGGUCAUCAC